RNAcentral lists this ribosomal RNA (253 nucleotides) under uncultured bacterium. RNAcentral's name for it is "partial 16S ribosomal RNA". It matches the Rfam family "Bacterial small subunit ribosomal RNA", at positions 524 to 776 of the family's 1533-position model. The record is from RNAcentral.
UACGUAGGGUGCAAGCGUUGUCCGGAAUUAUUGGGCGUAAAGAGCUCGUAGGCGGUCUGUCACGUCGGCUGUGAAAACCCGAGGCUCAACCUCGGGCCUGCAGUCGAUACGGGCAAACUAGAGUACUGCAGGGGAGACUGGAAUUCCUGGUGUAGCGGUGAAAUGCGUAGAGAUCAGGAAGAACAUCGGUGGCGAAGGCGCUCUGCUGGACCAUAACUGACACUCAGGGACGAAAGCUAGGGGAGCGAAUGGG